This is a non-coding RNA of Fusarium torulosum, 93 nucleotides long. The record is from the annotation of a GenBank genome assembly. Lineage: Eukaryota; Fungi; Ascomycota; Sordariomycetes; Hypocreales; Nectriaceae.
GGGGCGCUGGCGCAAUUGGUAGCGCGUCAGAUUCCAGCACAAUUCAAGUUGCGAGAUUCCUGAAGGUUAUCCGUUCGAGUCGGGUGUGCCUCA